CUACGGGUCGCAGCAGUGAGGAAUAUUGCACAAUGGGGGGAACCCUGAUGCAGCAACGCCGCGUGGAGGAUGACGCAUUUCGGUGUGUAAACUCCUUUUAUAUGUCAAGAAAAUGACGGUAGUAUAUGAAUAAGCACCGGCUAACUCCGUGCCAGCAGCCGCGGUAAUACGGAGGAUGCAAGCGUUACUCGGAAUCACUGGGCGUAAAGGACGCGUAGGCGGGUUGGAAAGUCAGGUGUGAAAUCCUACAGCUUAACUGUAGAACUGCACUUGAAACUUCUAAUCUAGAGUAUGGGAGGGGGAGAUGGAAUUAGUGGUGUAGGGGUAAAAUCCGUAGAUAUCACUAGGAAUACCUAAAGCGAAGGCGAUCUCCUGGAACAUUACUGACGCUAAGGCGUGAAAGCGUGGGGAGCAAACAGGAUUAGAUACCCCCGUAGUC
RNAcentral lists this ribosomal RNA (439 nucleotides) under uncultured bacterium. Its description in RNAcentral is "partial 16S ribosomal RNA". It matches the Rfam family "Bacterial small subunit ribosomal RNA", at positions 339 to 795 of the family's 1533-position model. The record is from RNAcentral.